Molecule: ribosomal RNA, 513 nt
Filed under: uncultured bacterium
Lineage: Bacteria
Description: partial 16S ribosomal RNA
Rfam family: Bacterial small subunit ribosomal RNA
Source: RNAcentral
GACGAACGCUGGCGGCGUGCUUAACACAUGCAAGUCGAACGAGAGCGUAGAGAAAGCUUGCUUUUUCUACAAUCUAGUGGCAAACGGGUGAGUAACGCGUAAACAACCUGCCCUACGGAUGGGGACAACAGCUGGAAACGGCUGCUAAUACCGAAUACGUUCCGAAAGUCGCAUGACUAUCGGAAGAAAGGAUGGCCUCUAUUUAUAAGCUAUCGCCGGAGGAGGGGUUUGCGUCUGAUUAGCUAGUUGGAGGGGUAACGGCCCACCAAGGCGACGAUCAGUAGGCGGUCUGAGAGGAUGAACGGCCACAUUGGAACUGAGACACGGUCCAGACUCCUACGGGAGGCAGCAGUGGGGAAUCUUCCGCAAUGGGCGAAAGCCUGACGGAGCAACGCCGCGUGAGUGAAGACGGCCUUCGGGUUGUAAAGCUCUGUUAUACGGGACGAAUAAUCUUGUGGUUAAUACCCAUGAGAAGUGACGGUACCGUAAGAGAAAGCCACGGCUAACUACGUG